CGGCGUAGCUUAACACAUGCAAGUACGAGCGAAGUCACUUUUUAGUAACGUCUUACGGGAGGGAAGAGAGGGUGACGUUAGCGGCGGACGGGUGAGUAACGCGUGGGCAACUGCCUUACACAGGGGAUACAAUUAGAAUGAUUGCUAAUACCGCAUAAGACCACGGUACUGCAUGGUACAGUGGUAAAAACUGAGGUGGUGUAAGAUGGGCCCGCGUCUGAUUAGGUAGUUGUGGGGUAGAAGCCUACCAAGCCGACGAUCAGUAGCCGACCUGAGAGGGCGACCGGCCACAUUGGGACUGAGACACGGCCCAAACUCCUACGGGAGGCAGCAGUGGGGAAUAUUGCACAAUGGGGGAAACCCUGAUGCAGCGACGCCGCGUGAGUGAGGAAGUAUUUCGGUAUGUAAAGCUCUAUCAGCAGGGAAGAAAAUGACGGUACCUGACUAAGAAGCCCCGGCUAACUAUGUG
Molecule: ribosomal RNA, 469 nt
Filed under: uncultured Lachnospiraceae bacterium
Lineage: Bacteria; Bacillati; Bacillota; Clostridia; Lachnospirales; Lachnospiraceae
Description: bacterial SSU rRNA
Rfam family: Bacterial small subunit ribosomal RNA
Source: RNAcentral